RNAcentral lists this ribosomal RNA (493 nucleotides) under uncultured bacterium. RNAcentral's name for it is "bacterial SSU rRNA". It matches the Rfam family "Bacterial small subunit ribosomal RNA", at positions 56 to 507 of the family's 1533-position model. The record is from RNAcentral.
UGCAAGUCGAACGGAGUGCCUUAGAUUGAGACUUCGGUCAAUAUCUUUGGUUACUUAGUGGCGGACGGGUGAGUAACACGUGAGUAACCUGCCCUUGAGAGGGGAAUAACACACCGAAAGGUGUGCUAAUACCGCAUAACAUAUUGAAAUCGCAUGGUUUAAUCGUGAAAGAUGGCCUCUACAUGUAAGCUAUCGCCAAAGGAUGGGCCUGCGUCUGAUUAGCUAGUUGGUGGGGUAACGGCUCACCAAGGCGACGAUCAGUAGCCGGUCUGAGAGGAUGAACGGCCACAUUGGGACUGAGACACGGCCCAGACUCCUACGGGAGGCAGCAGUGGGGAAUCUUCCGCAAUGGACGAAAGUCUGACGGAGCAAUGCCGCGUGAGUGAUGAAGGUUUUCGGACCGUAAAGCUCUUUUGUUUAUGACGAAUGUGCAUGAUGUGAACAAUGUUGUGUAAUGACGGUAGUAAACGAAUAAGCCACGGCUAACUACGUG